AAAGAAGAAGGAUCUCCAGUCAGGCUGAAGUAACACCACAGACCUAAACCUAUUAUAGCUGGACCUCUGAGACGAGCACAGAAACAUUGUUGACGUGGUUGGACACAUUAAGAUCGACCUGAAUCUUCAUCUGAAUACAGCAGCCUUUCUUGUGUUCCAUAGCCUUUAAAUAGGUGUAAGGUUGCCAGCAAAUCCACAAUGGGACGAUCAAGUGAAAUUCCAGAAGCUGUUAAGGAAAAGAUUGUUUUUUACCAUAAGUCUGGUAAGGGAUACAAAUCCAUUUCAAAGAUUACAGGAAUGCACCGAUCCACCAUCAGAUCCAUCAUCCGCAAAUGGAAAACAACUGGAACCUUAAUGAACCUCCCCAGAAGUGGUCGACCGGUUAAAAUCUCUCCGGGUGUAGAACUCAAAAUCAUGAAUGAAAUCGAAAAGAAACCCGACAUCACUUCUAAAGAACUGCAGGCUUUCCUUGCCCUGACUAAAAUUAAAGUUCAUGACUCUACAAUCAGAAGAACGCUGAGAAAACUAGGCUAUGUCAAAGAGUAUGCAGCUCAAAAACCAUGCAUAAAAGAAGAAAUCGAGUCUCCUGAUUUUGAGGAGAAUGUUUUACAGAAAGAAGAGCUAAAGGGGGAUUUUUCUGUGUAAAAGGAAGUCAGAUUGUUCUAUACUGUACAGUAUUAUAUAUCAUUUUGAAGUAGUCUCAUCGUAUGAGACUCAACUGUAAUAUAAGAGGACUGUUCAUUUAUAUUAUUAUUCAUAUGGAAAGGAAAUUAAAGUGUACAGAAUUUAAGUUAAUUUUGAUUAGUUGCUAUCUGAAAUAUUGAAUCAUCUGUCAAUGAGAUUUAUUGUCAUCUCAUUCAUCCAUUUUGUUUUUGCACAUUAAAAAAUAUAAAAAUUUCUUUAUAUUGCUGCAUGUACAAUGCUUGAAUGAUGAUAAAACUAUUCAGAGAUGGUUAGUAGCUAUUUUGUGUUUUAUGCUGCACAAUUUUAAUGAAACUCUUUUAUAUAUUUUUUUAUUCUUUUGGCUGAAUUUAUGGGAAAUGGGGGAAAAACAUUGUCAAAAUAAUUUAUUUUAUUCCUAAAAUAAAAAUAAGUUUUAAAUCAAUCAACACAAUUAACAUAGUAAAAUAAUAAAUAUGAAAUUGAAUAUUUUAAUGAAUAAUUGUAAAAUGCAAAUAAACAUGUAAAGACUCAUUAAACAAGUUUUAAUAGUUCUG
Molecule: long non-coding RNA, 1217 nt
Filed under: Danio rerio (zebrafish)
Lineage: Eukaryota; Metazoa; Chordata; Actinopteri; Cypriniformes; Danionidae
Description: lncRNA si:dkey-117j14.7 (ENSDARG00000096996.2)
Source: RNAcentral